RNAcentral lists this small RNA (110 nucleotides) under Marmota monax (woodchuck). The record is from RNAcentral. Lineage: Eukaryota; Metazoa; Chordata; Mammalia; Rodentia; Sciuridae.
GCUGGAUGUGGUGGUGCGCAUCUGUAAUCCCAGUUGCUUGGGAGGCUGCAAGUUUGAGGCCAGCUUCAGCAAUUUAGUGAGGGCCUAAGCAAUUUAGCUAGUCCUUGCUA